Molecule: long non-coding RNA, 242 nt
Filed under: Mytilus galloprovincialis (Mediterranean mussel)
Lineage: Eukaryota; Metazoa; Mollusca; Bivalvia; Mytilida; Mytilidae
Source: RNAcentral
GUCUUGGUUAGUUAAAAGCAAGUAUUUUUAAAUUAGAAAUGUAUUUUUUGCUGCACUAGUCUGUAACAUAGUUAAUCUUGACUAUUUACGUUGGAUUUUUUACACUAUGCCUUUUUCGAAAUGAACAUUUUAAUUCAAACAAAAAAGACAAUCAAACUAUUCAAUGAUUGAUAAACAAUAUAAAAAGUUAACAUGUGAUUAGUAAUGUUCAACGUGAUGAUUUAAAGUUUGCAUUUUGUUCA